GCGCCUGUAGCUCAACCGGACAGAGCGGCGGUCUUCGGAACCGCAGGUUGUAGGCUCGAAUCCUACCAGGCGCACUA
This 77-nucleotide transfer RNA is filed under the name Candidatus Nealsoniibacteriota bacterium. RNAcentral's name for it is "Candidatus Nealsonbacteria bacterium tRNA-Arg". It matches the Rfam family "tRNA". From Rfam's summary of the family: Transfer RNA (tRNA) molecules are approximately 80 nucleotides in length. Their secondary structure includes four short double-helical elements and three loops (D, anti-codon, and T loops). Further hydrogen bonds mediate the characteristic L-shaped molecular structure. tRNAs have two regions of fundamental functional importance: the anti-codon, which is responsible for specific mRNA codon recognition, and the 3' end, to which the tRNAs corresponding amino acid is attached (by aminoacyl-tRNA synthetases). tRNAs cope with the degeneracy of the genetic code in two manners: having more than one tRNA (with a specific anti-codon) for a particular amino acid; and 'wobble' base-pairing, i.e. permitting non-standard base-pairing at the 3rd anti-codon position. Lineage: Bacteria; Candidatus Nealsoniibacteriota. The record is from RNAcentral.